AUAGAGCUAUCACUGUGUUCAUUUUCUCAAAAGCCUCUUUUUGGUCAGUUAGUAUCAAGAGGCAACUUUGGAGGGUGGAGGGUAAUUGGGAUUAGGAACUGAGAUCUGGUAUCAUAGGCAUGGCUAUUUUAGCACUGUUUGGAGAACAUAAACUUGGGUCACAUUAAGAGAAGUAGAAGGUACAGAUCAAGGGAGGGGAUAGCAGUCUUUAAUUUUGCUGUAGUCACACCCUGCCUGACACAGCUCUGUUCUGAGUAUCAUACUUUGAAGGCAGCUUUGACAACCUUUGUCAAGCUGGAACCCAGGAAGGGUUAUCAGGGGAGUCAGGAGUCUUGAAGGCUAUUGAAAUGGCUAACUUGGCAGCUGCUAAAUGAAAAUAAACCUUUGCUCAUGGGAGAGGGAGUGAAUGCCGGUCGAGACUCCACUACAUAAAGACAUUGCUGCUCACAGAUGCUCUGCUGAUCCCUCAAGAAUCUUGAAAUUGGUGAUAGGGUCUCCAUUUUACAGAUCUUAUGAAGCAAGGACUACUAUUCACCCCAAAAUGAUGAAGGCAGGCUGACUGGAAUGGAGAAGUACAUGUUCUGGAGGUUUGGUUGUUUUAUUCAAGAUGUGUUUGUGUAUAUUUAUUCCAUUUCGUGGGGGAAAAGCCUGAUUCAUUUCUAUGAUAGUCCAAGUACCUGAAAUAAAGGGAAAAAAAUCCAUCAAGUGUUUAACACUGGAGUGUUAAACAAGACCUUGACAUGACUUUCCCUUCCCUUGUAGUGAAUGGGAGAACAACCUGAUAAAACAUAAUGGACAGAGACGAGAGCCACUAACAUCACUGACAUAGAACGUCUGGCUUUGGCUUAUGAUAAAAUGUUGGCAGUUCACUUGUUUAUUCUCUUGUUAUUCUUUUAGAAGAAAUUCCCCUAAAAGUAGGAGGCGAGAAUCUCUUGUUCUUGAUUCUUUUUCCUUCAUCCUCAGUUGUAUUUUAUUGGAUUAUGAAUUCGUAUUUAUGGAGACAUUCUGUCUUCUGUUCGUGUUCUAUUUUGGCCACUGUAUAUGCCAGGCUGAUGUUAGAGCCCUACAGUUUGACCCUAAAUAAAAGAAACCCCUUUGUAUGUUAAAAAAAAAAAAAAAAAACCCAGCUCUGUGGAUCAUCUUCCUUAAAUCUACCACUAAUGUUUGGCUCUUUAUCUUUUAAAAAUGAGACAUUAACCAUUCCUCUGCUCUUUGCCCACACUUGGCAUUUUGUGGGGAGGACGUAUUGGAGAUGAUGCAAGAGGUCUUAAAUAUGGUUCCUGCCCUCGCUAUGCUUACUUUAAUUAUAUUGAGCUAAAUGGGCAGAGGAAUUAAGAGACAAUUAGGGAAUAGGUGCUUGCAUGUGCUUGUGUCCUAUUGAAGGGGUUCAGAACAGGCCUCCCUAAGUUGUGCCACUUCGGCACAUGGAAUAUUUUGAGCUAAAGGCAGUUGAGACCCUGUGGGCUCAAGAGAAAUUUUGACCUCUCCCUUAAAGAAUUUAAAUUGGGAGCCUUGCCUAUGAUAAGAGUUAUUACCAGAAAUAAACUUUUAUGAUCUAUCUGUGUGGCAGGGCAAACCUCUACUUACUGAACAUCUGCUCUUCUUAGUGUCCUGUGAAUUACCUCCUCCCCUCUGAAGCCUCAGGCCCCUACCCCAUUCCUUAGCUCAAGGUGACACAUAUACUUCAUUUUACCUUUUUAUCUCUGAAUCUCUCAUGUACGUAGGGUCUCUGACUCUCACAUGUACGUGGGGUUCCCAUACAUACAAAAUUAAAUUUUAUUUUCUCCUAUUUAUCUGUCUCACGUCAAUUUAAUUAUUAGACCAGCCAGAAGAACCUAGAAGGGUAGAGGAAAAUGUCUUCCUCCCCCACACUAUGAAUGGAAUAGUGGGAGAAAUUUGUAAAUUGGACUGAGAAGAAAAACUUAGAGGCAGACAGACUGAGUCCUGAGUUUCUGGAAGCAGAACCACUUCUAUCCCCAGUGCUGAGUAUGGGCCUCGUCUGUAGAAGGAACUACUCUACCUGAAGUAAAGCUGCCGGAUAAGGAGUUCAUUGCAGCUGGCCUCAGGCUCUUGGGGAAUGCAGGGCUGAAUAUGACUGGCAACUCUGACCCUGUGUUGGCAGCUUCCUGCCCCAGCUCCCACAUCCUAACUUCUCCCAAGAGCAGCCUUGUAAGCUGGAAGGAGCUAGGGAAGAGCUGGGUGGGAUGAGGUACAAGGCCCUUCUUAGAGGAGGGAGGGGAAUACAGGAGGGUCUCAACUGCUCCAGCUGGACUGAAGCAGCUGUGGGGGUGGAGUGCAGCAGAUUCCAUGUGUGCCUCAUGGAAAGUUGAAGUAUCAGACCAGGGUGCUGUUGCAUGAAUAUGGCUGCAUGAGGCACGUACCUGUUUCCCUGUGGGGUGCUAGCCAAGGUGGGAGGUGAACAGUGUACAGCUCUGCUCCUAUUGCUCCCCAGACUGUAAAGGAGGGCACUGGCAUAACCGGGGUACCUGGUGGAGGAGCAGACACUGCCCACCAGGAUGACCUGAAGAAGUGCUGGGCUAAGUGUAAACUCAGCCUGUCAUCUGGCUUUCGCUCAUAGUCUAGAUCUUGAAAUUCUUUUAAAGAGCCCCACUUAAAAUACAAAUACUCCUAGGAUUUUUGAGGCCUCAUCAACCUAUACUUGGGCUGUGUAUUUUUUUAAAUGAUAGCCUUAUUGAGGUAUAAUUUACAUACCCUAAAAUUCACCUGUUUUAGCUGAGUUGUGCAACCAUCACCACAAUCCACUUUUAGAACACUGUCAUCACCCGAAAAAGACCCCACCUUCCUAUUUGUAGCCAUUCUCCAUUCCCACUCCCAGUCUCAGGCAACCACUAAUCUCUCAGUUUCUAUGGGUUUGCCUCUUGACAUUUCAUAUAAAUGGCAUCAUAUAAUAUGUGGUCUUUUGUGUCUGGCUUCUUUCACGUAGUGUAAUGUUUUUGAGGUUAAUCUAUGUUGAACCCUGUCAGUAAUCUCUGCCUUUUUAUUGCUGAAUAAUAUUUCAUUGUGUAUACCACAUUUUCAUUCACUGUUGACAAAUGUUUGAGUUAUUUCCAGGACUUGGCUGUUAUGAAUAAUGCAGCUAUGAACAUUUAUGUACAUGUCUUUGGAUAUAGAUGUUCGUUUAUCUUGGAUAGAUUAUUGGGAGUGGAAUUGCUGGGUCAUAUGGUAAUUUGUUAAGCUUUUAAAGAAACUACCAAACUAUUUUCAGAAGCGGUUGCACCAUUUUACAAUCCCACCAGCAAUGUAUGAGGACU
This is a non-coding RNA of Equus caballus (horse), 3272 nucleotides long. Lineage: Eukaryota; Metazoa; Chordata; Mammalia; Perissodactyla; Equidae. The record is from RefSeq and is a predicted model, not a curated record.